GCCGGAGUGGCGGAAUGGCAGACGCGGCGGAUUCAAAAUCCGCUGCCCGAAAGGGUGUGGGGGUUCGACUCCCCCCUCCGGCA
This 83-nucleotide transfer RNA is filed under the name Phycisphaeraceae bacterium. RNAcentral describes it as "tRNA-Leu". It matches the Rfam family "tRNA". Rfam says of the family: Transfer RNA (tRNA) molecules are approximately 80 nucleotides in length. Their secondary structure includes four short double-helical elements and three loops (D, anti-codon, and T loops). The record is from RNAcentral. Lineage: Bacteria; Pseudomonadati; Planctomycetota; Phycisphaerae; Phycisphaerales; Phycisphaeraceae.